CCUACGGGUGGCAGCAGUAGGGAAUAUUGCUCAAUGGGGGAAACCCUGAAGCAGCAACGCCGCGUGGAGGAUGAAGGUUCUCUGAUUUUAAACUCCUUUUUUUAGAGAAGAUAAUGACGGUAUCUAACGAAUAAGCACCGGCUAGCUCCGUGCCAGCAGCCGCGGUAAUACGCAGGGUGCAAGCGUUACUCGGAAUCACUGGGCGUAAAGCGUGAGUAGGCGGGAUAGCAAGUCAGAUGUGAAAUCCUAGGGCUUAACCAUAGAACUGCAGUUGAAACUGUUAGUCUAGAGUAUGGGAGAGGUAGGAGGAAUUCUUGGUGUAGGGGUAAAAGCAGUAGAGAUCAAGAGGAAUACUGAUUGCGAAGGCGACCUGCUAGAACAUAACUGACGCUGAUGCGCGAAAGCGUGGGGAGCAAACAGGAUUAGAUACCCUUGUAGUC
Molecule: ribosomal RNA, 440 nt
Filed under: uncultured bacterium
Lineage: Bacteria
Description: partial 16S ribosomal RNA
Rfam family: Bacterial small subunit ribosomal RNA
Source: RNAcentral